UACGUAGGCAGCGAGCGUUGUUCGGAGUUACUGGGCGUAAAGCGUGCGUAGGCGGUGUCUUACGUUUGUUGUGAAAUCUCCCGGCUUAACCGGGAGGGUGCGGCGAAUACUGAGAUGCUGGAGUGCCGGAGAGGUAAGCGGAAUUCCUGGUGUAGCGGUGAAAUGCGUAGAUAUCAGGAGGAACACCUGCGGUGUAGACGGCUUACUGGACGGUAACUGACGCUGAGGCACGAAAGCGUGGGUAGCAAACAGG
RNAcentral lists this ribosomal RNA (253 nucleotides) under uncultured bacterium. Its description in RNAcentral is "partial 16S ribosomal RNA". It matches the Rfam family "Bacterial small subunit ribosomal RNA", at positions 524 to 776 of the family's 1533-position model. The record is from RNAcentral.